Pseudonaja textilis is the source of this 221-nucleotide non-coding RNA. The record is from RefSeq and is a predicted model, not a curated record. NCBI's taxonomy places the organism in Eukaryota, Metazoa, Chordata, Lepidosauria, Squamata, Elapidae.
AAUUGACGACGGUUUAGUGACCAUUUCAAAAUUACAAUGGCGCUGAAGAAAGUGACUUCGGACCAUCCAUCCUUGCGACCGUUGCAGCAGUCCCACGCUGACGUGAUCAAAAUUCGGAUACUCGGCCACUGACUUGUAUUUAUGGCGGGCUCAGGAGAUUUCCCCGAUUUUGCGACCCUCCAAUAAGCAAAGUCAACGGGGAAGCCUGAUUUACUUUACAA